GGAGAGAUGGCUCAGUGUUUAAGAGCACUGGUUGCUCUUUCAGAGGACCUGGGUUCAAUUCCCAGCACCUACA
Molecule: non-coding RNA, 73 nt
Organism: Cricetulus griseus (Chinese hamster)
Lineage: Eukaryota; Metazoa; Chordata; Mammalia; Rodentia; Cricetidae
Source: Rfam